CUAUUCAAGAAGGAAUGCUCUUCUUCAGUGCUGUCUGUGCUGGUGUAGUUUCCUAAACUAGACCUCAGUCUCUGGACUGACCUCCUGGCUUGACUUCAUCUACUAUUAAAACCCAGCUUGGUAAUUAUUAGACCUGAUCUUAAUGCUAGCCUGUGGACUGGUUUCCUGCCUGGCAUCAGACAUGCUUUAUUGCCAGGAGAUUGCCUUAUGAUCUGGACUUUUGUCUGAACUUGGCUGUUGCUGGACCUUCUCUUCCUGAAUACCCUUGGAGCUAGGCCUUGACCAGUGAGGACUCCCCUCUUCUUGCUGUGGGAUACCUUUUGUGGCCAAGCCUGAUUUUGCUACAGCUGAUGCAUGGAGGUUUCUGCAAGGCUUCCCAGCAGCCUUACUGUGGGUGAGCCUACGGUGUGAUGCCUGGGAACAAUGAGACGGUGAGGAAGGGCAUGCUGUUCUUCCUCACAGAUUAUCUCAUCCAGUGAGAACCACUGGGCUCUCCUAUAGGUUUUUCAUGUAUUUGCUUUCAGCAAAAAAUCUUUCUGUGGACCUCAUGAACCGAGCCCUACACCUCUUUGAGGCACAGAAGAGCUGGAGCAGCUGGGGAUGAGCACCUGCUGUUCCAGGAGCUGGUGCCCAUGUGCCCUGAAAUGCUGCUACAAGGGCCCCACCAGGAGGCGAGGCACGUGGGGUUCCUGUGUCCUGUUGUCUGUCACAUGUGUGACUGCAUUUUGGAAGUGGUGCUUGAAAUAGAAUGCUCCACAUCCAGCUUGUCAGGGGAGCUGUGCCAAGGUUAAGAUAACUCUCAACCUGAUUAUGAGUUAAUUGGUACACAGGAGACCAACUCCCAGCCAAUUGGAGGCACACGAUGUACAUGGAAAUGGGAUGAGAGGCUUCUAAAAGAGGAGGUAAAGAAAGUGCACUGCAUUCAAAAUCCAUUAGCAGGAGCUUCAGCCAACCUCAAGCAGUCAUUUCUAAUGCAGCCAAAGGAAGGCAUGUCCAUGAGUUAGCUGACUACACAGUGGCUGCCUUGUCUCUCCCAGAGAGCAAAGAAAUGAAGCACAGCACGUUUUAGGAAGUGUUUGUGUAGGGUGGAUGGAUUUUGAUGGCUGCUGCAGGAGUGGAGUAUUGGUUGUCACUGUGGAAAUGCAUUGCUGGGGUUUAGAUUUUAGUGUGUCAUGCUUUCAUCAGGUAAAAGUAGUUUGUAGGCUUGGAAUAAGAGUUUAGCAAAGGUGGAGAGACAGAAGUGAAAAUUUGCAGGAAAAAGGCAAAAUCUAAUGGGUGGUGACAUCUAUUAAAUAAUAUUUUUCAGUUUUCCUAGGUGAGGAUAGUGGAAUGAUCAGGGCUUCUAUGCGUGAUUUUUCUAAUGAAGAAAAGUUAAUGAAGCAUGCUACAUGUUUUACAAAGACCAUAUGGCCUAUUUUGACUCUUAAAAGCUUAACUAUCUAAAUAUAUUAACUAUCUACAUUAUUGAAAAGAACGUUUAUUGUGUGUGUGUGGGGGGGGUGUGUUUGUUUGUUUUGGUGGUUUGUAGGGGUUUUUGUGUUUUUUUUUUUUGGUCCAUUUUGGUGGAUGACUAAAUAAAGCUAUUGCUGCUCUUCA
This is a long non-coding RNA of Hirundo rustica (Barn swallow), 1596 nucleotides long. RefSeq lists it as uncharacterized. The transcript is spliced from 2 exons. The record is from RefSeq and is a predicted model, not a curated record. Lineage: Eukaryota; Metazoa; Chordata; Aves; Passeriformes; Hirundinidae.